This 492-nucleotide ribosomal RNA is filed under the name uncultured bacterium. Its description in RNAcentral is "partial 16S ribosomal RNA". It matches the Rfam family "Bacterial small subunit ribosomal RNA", at positions 29 to 507 of the family's 1533-position model. The record is from RNAcentral.
AGUGAACGCUGGCGGUAUGCCUAACACAUGCAAGUCGAACGGCAGCACAGUAAUAGCUUGCUCUUACGGGUUGCGAGUCGCGUACGUGUGAGGAAUACAUCGUAAUCUACUUUUUCGUGUGAGUUAACGUAGGUAAACUUACUCUAAUACCGCAGACGACCUACGGUUGAGAGCAUUGGAUCGUCUGAGCUUGCGCGGUUGAAUGAGCCGCUGUCGGGUUAGCUAGUUGGCGGGGUAAAGGCCCACCAAGGCGACGAUCCGUAGCUGGUCAGAGAGGAUGGUCAGCCACACUGGAACUUAGACACGGUCCAGACUACUACGGGACGCCGCAGUCGGGAAUAGUGGACAAAGGGGGGAAGUAUGAUACAGUGAGAGCGAGUGGGUGAAGAAGGCGUCGGGGUUGUAAAGACCUUCUGUGGGGAAAGAACAGCAGCCGGCUAAUACCAAGCUGGUGUGACGGUAAUCAAAGAAUAAGCACCGGCUAACUUCGUG